AGAAUCAACGCUGGCGGCGUGCCUAACACAUGCAAGUCGAACGAGAAAGUGGAGCAAUCCAUGAGUAAAGUGGCGCACGGGUGAGUAACACGUGACUAACCUACCUUUUAGUGGGGGAUAACCUAGGGAAACCUGGGCUAAUACCGCAUAACACUUACGAGUCAAAGCAGCAAUGCGCUGAAAGAGGGGGUCGCGGCCGAUUAGCUAGUUGGCGGGGUAAUGGCCCACCAAGGCAGUGAUCGGUAUCCGGCCUGAGAGGGCGCACGGGACACACUGGAACUGAAACACGGUCCAGACUCCUACGGGAGGCAGCAGUGGGGAAUUUUGCGCAAUGGGGGAAACCCUGACGCAGCAACGCCGCGUGGAGGAUGAAGUCCCUUGGGACGUAAACUCCUUUCGAUCGGGACGAUAAUGACGGUACCGGAAGAAGAAGCCCCGGCUAACUUCGCGCCAGCAGCCGC
This 461-nucleotide ribosomal RNA is filed under the name uncultured bacterium. RNAcentral describes it as "SSU rRNA". It matches the Rfam family "Bacterial small subunit ribosomal RNA", at positions 26 to 518 of the family's 1533-position model. The record is from RNAcentral.